Molecule: transfer RNA, 70 nt
Filed under: Camelus bactrianus (Bactrian camel)
Lineage: Eukaryota; Metazoa; Chordata; Mammalia; Artiodactyla; Camelidae
Also listed under: 1 other name
Rfam family: tRNA
About the family: Transfer RNA (tRNA) molecules are approximately 80 nucleotides in length. Their secondary structure includes four short double-helical elements and three loops (D, anti-codon, and T loops).
Source: Rfam by way of RNAcentral
GAAUAUAGCUCAGUGGUAGAGCGCAUGCUUAGCAUGCAUGAGGUCCUGGGUUCAAUCCCCAGUACCUUCA